UAAAAAUAUAAAAUGAUAUUUUUCUCAAUUUAAUACACUAUAUCAUUGUAUAUACAUCAAUUGGAUCUCAUUUGCUAACGUUCAAAUAGCACAUUAGUUCCGGAAAAUUUAUAUAACCGAAGAACUUCACUUCGAAUCAAUAAGAUGUAUCAAAAUUAGAUCUCAUUUAUUUUUACUUGAGCUCACUAUAACAUUUAAGGACAACACAAAAUCCUAAAAACUAUGGUGGAGCUUGUCAGGAAAAAUAUUAAAAUAAUCUCCUGCAAUAUCAUCACCCAACAAUGCAGAGGUUUGUUUUCAUCACUGCAAACGAAAUUCCAUAACA
Molecule: non-coding RNA, 325 nt
Organism: Arachis ipaensis
Lineage: Eukaryota; Viridiplantae; Streptophyta; Magnoliopsida; Fabales; Fabaceae
Source: RefSeq, a predicted model, not a curated record